GGGCCCGUAGCUCAGACUGGGAGAGCGCUGCCCUUGCAAGGCAGAGGCCCCGGGUUC
Molecule: transfer RNA, 57 nt
Filed under: Methanobrevibacter olleyae
Lineage: Archaea; Methanobacteriati; Methanobacteriota; Methanobacteria; Methanobacteriales; Methanobacteriaceae
Description: tRNA_Ala_TGC
Rfam family: tRNA
About the family: Transfer RNA (tRNA) molecules are approximately 80 nucleotides in length.
Source: RNAcentral